CCUACGGGUGGCAGCAGUGAGGAAUAUUGGUCAAUGGACGAGAGUCUGAACCAGCCAAGUAGCGUGAAGGAUGACUGCCCUAUGGGUUGUAAACUUCUUUUAUAUGGGAAUAAAAUGUUCCACGUGUGGGAUUUUGUAUGUACCAUGUGAAUAAGGAUCGGCUAACUCCGGGCCAGCAGCCGCGGUAAUACGGAGGAGCCGAGCGUUAUCCGGGUUUUUUGGGUUUAAAGGGAGCGUAGGUGGAUUGUUAAGUCAGUUGUGAAAGUUUGCGGAUCAACCGUCAAAUUGCAGUUGAAACUGGAAGUCUUGAGUACAGUAGAGGUGAGCGGAAUUCGUGGUGUAGCGGUGAAAUGCUUAGAGAUCACGAAGAACUCCGAUUGCGAAGGCAGUUCACUGGACUGCAACUGACACUGAGGCUCGAAAGUGUGGGUAUCAAACAGGAUUAGAUACCCGUGUAGUC
This 460-nucleotide ribosomal RNA is filed under the name uncultured bacterium. Its description in RNAcentral is "partial 16S ribosomal RNA". It matches the Rfam family "Bacterial small subunit ribosomal RNA", at positions 338 to 795 of the family's 1533-position model. The record is from RNAcentral.